Molecule: long non-coding RNA, 4615 nt
Filed under: Sus scrofa (pig)
Lineage: Eukaryota; Metazoa; Chordata; Mammalia; Artiodactyla; Suidae
Description: lncRNA (ENSSSCG00015025737.1)
Source: RNAcentral
UUAAUAGAUGCAGACUAUUGCCUUUGGAAUGUAUAAGCAAUGAGAUCUUGCUCCAUAGAACUGGGAACUGUAUCUAGUCACUUAUGAUGGAGCAUGAUAAUGUGAGAAAAAGGAAUGUAUACAUGUAUGUGUGACUAGGUCAACUUGCUGUAAAGUAGAAAAUUGACAGAACACUGUAAUCCAGCUACAAUGGAAAAAAAAACAAAAAUCAUUAAAUUAAAAAAAAAAAAGAGGAGUUCCCAUCAUGGUGCUGUGGUUAACGAAUCCGACUAGGAACCAUGAGGUUGCGGGUUUGAUCCCUGCCCUUGCUCAGUGGGUUAAGGAUCCGGCGUUGCCAUGAGCUGUGGUGUAGGUUGCAGACGUGGCUCGGAUCCGGCGUUGCUGUGGCUCUGACGUAGGCUGGCAGCUACAGCUCCAAUUAGACCCCCUAGCCUGGGAACCUCCAUAUGCCGCGGGAGCGGCCCAAGAAAUGGCAAAAAAAGACAAAAAAAAAAUUUUUUUUUCUAUGAUAUUUAAACUAUUUGCCUCUAAACUGGGUGGCUUAAAACAACAGAAAUUAAUUCUAGAGUUCUGGAGAUUAGAAGUCCAAAAUGAGCUUCCUGGAAUAAAGGGGUCAGCAGGACUGUGCUCCUUCCAGUGGUUCUAGGUGAGAAUCUCUCCCAGCUUCUGGUAACUCCUGGAAUUCUUUGGCUUGUGGCUUCAUUUCUCCAGCCUUUAAAGCCAGCAUCUUCAAAUCUUUAAAGCCCGUCUCUAUUCUCCCUUCACAUAGCCUCCUCUCAGUGUAUAAAAUCUCCCCCUCCUUUCCUCUUAUAUGGAUAUGUGUGACUGCAUUUAGGGCCUAACUGGGGGCAUCUGGCUAAUCUUUUUAUGCAAGAGCCUCAACUUAAUCACAUUACAAAGACUCUUUUUUCAAAUAAGGUAAGAGUCACAGGUUUUGGAGAUUAGGAUAGGGAUAUAUUUGGGGGGGGUCAUUGUUUAGGCUACCACAAACAUUAAAAAAAUUUUAGUACAUUUAUAUAUGAUGCAUAUGUACAUACAUAAAUUCAUAAAUAAAAAAAAUCUACUUUUUUUUUUUUUUUACCGUGGUCAUUACUGCAAUGUUACAGCUGACUUUGAACUCCUCAUCAUAUAUCUCUAUAGCAGUUCUUGAAUAAUAAAUACAUAAUACUCAUGUAAGAUGUUAAUAUGUGAGAAAAAAAAGUCAGGGAGAAAGAUUUCGUACUUUGGCUGAUGUACAUUUGAGACCCACUAGUUCCAAGUCUUUCAUUUCAAAUAUAAACACCAGGCACCUCUCCAAUUAAAUGACACCAACAUUUAUGUUGUUUCCUGGAAGACAUAUGUGUGCUGCAAAUAUGCGGCUACCCGGAGCCAAAAGCUCAGGGGCUGGAGAGAGGUUUUGCCGGGUUCCACAGCAACGAGGAAUGGUGUUAAACCCAACCUCAAGAACCAUUUUUUCUCAAUCAUGUGGCAUAUCUAUUCUUCCCUUCUGGCUUUUUUAUUUUACUCAGAUUCCUGGAUAUGACUAUAUGCUAGAUUAGGACACAACAGUUAAAUGGGAUAUUAAAGACCAUUGGGUCCAAUCCCAGUCUGAUACAGCUUAGGGCAUCCGAAAGGACCGAACAGGUGAUGAUGAUUCCCAAGGCAGCUGAGGCAAGACUUGACCCCGGAGCUCCUGACCCCUGAUAUCUAGAGCAUUCUACACUAUUCUUUAAUCCACAAAUCUCUGCCCCUCAAUACUCUAUACUUUGGGAAAUCCCGGCAGCAGCAAUGUUCGAGAAGCAGGAAAAAUAGGGUGAUUGAAACACAGAGGAAAGUAAAAAAUGAGUUGGAGAGCUGGUGGUACCAAAGCCUCAUUUUGAGUGAGGCAUCAAGUGUUGUCAAAGGAAAACUCUGAGCCAGAGAGACAGACAGAGUCGUGGGUUAAAGGUCAGUGAUAGGAGGAGCACUGGCCUGGCCCCCCUCUCUGUGUGUGUGGUGGGGUGGGGGCAGGAAGAGGGCAGUGUUGCCCUCAGGGGCACCUGGGGGCUGAAUCUUGGAGCAGAAUGUGGGAGCUUAUGCCAGUGAGGCCAAGGGCAGGCUCAAUGUCCCAGUCACUGGAAGGUACCUUCCCCUGCUUGAAGACUUCCAAAGAGUCCCCAUUUCAAUGAAUCAAAAUUAAUUAAUCUGACACUUUGCCACAAUACAAAUAUGGCUCCUUCCUCUCUAACCUCAGCUCUUAGUACUACCCAGCCCACCCCAUGUAUCCCCCCACCCUGUUCUAGACACCCUGGCCUUCUUUCCAUCCCUCAAGAAAACCAAGGUCAUUCCUUACCCAGGGGCUUUGAACUUGCUAUUCCUUCUGCCCGGAACAGUCUUUUCCCAGAUCCUUUUCAUUCUCAGGUCCUAUUUGUCUUUCAUUUCUCUUCUUUUUUUUAAAAAAAAUUUACUUAUUUAUUUAUUUUAUUAAAGUGUCAUUAUGCCAAUUUAUGUUAUAUAGCAUAGUGACCCAAUAUUUAUAUAUAUUCUUUUCCUCAUACUACUUUCUAUCAUGUUUUAUCCAAAGAGAUUGGAUAUAGGACAGUGUGCUGGACAGUAGGACCUCAUCGCCCAUCCAUUCUAAAUGUAAUAGUUUACAUCUACCAACCCCAAACUCCCCAUCCAUCCACUCCCUUCCCCCAUCCCCUUGGCAACCACAAGUCCAUUCUCUAUAUCUAUGAGUCUGUUUCCAUUUUGUAUAUAGGUUCAUUUGUGCCAUGUUUUAGAUUCUACAUACAGGUGAUAUCAUAUGACAUUUGUCUUUCUAUUUCUGACUUCACACAGUAUGAUCAUCUCUAGUUGCAUCCAUGUUGCUGCAAAUGCCAUUAUUUUGUUCUUCUUUAUGGCUGAGUAGUAUUCCAUCAUAUAUAUGUACCACAUCUUCUUAGUCCAUUCAUCUGUCAAUAAGACAUUUAGGUUGUUUCCAUGUCUUGCCUAUUGUGAAUAGUGCUGCAAUGACCAUAGCGGUGCAUGUAUCUUUUUGAUCAUUCCUCUUCUUAACCAACACAGAAAGGCCCUCCCGGGGCAUUCAAUCAAAAUUGACCCCCUCCUUCUCCUGGUUAUAAUCCAAAACCCUGUUUAUUUUCUUCAUGGCACUUAUCACCAUCCAUUAUUAUGCAGUUAGGUUUUUUUUUCCCUAUUAAACCGUAAGCUCCAUGAGAACAGAAACUUUAUUCUCCUCAUUGUCCCAAAUCCUAGAGCAUUGCCUGACAUAGAGUGGGUGCUGAGUAAAUAUUUGUUGAAUACAUCAAUUACUAAGUCUCCCAGAUUCAUUUCCAGGGCAGGCAACAUAUGACACUUGGGCUGAUAUCCGCAGCCACUGAAUGGAUGAAUCAAUGUAGCUGUUGGAGUGUCUCUAAAAAGUCGAUCACAGUCACAGGAAAUUGUGUGUGUGUGUCCCAGCUACCCAGUUCCCAGCCCCACUGGACCUUUGGGAUUUCUGCACUGUCCUAUAGAGGUCACUUGCUCACAGGGAUCUCUCUGAUUCCUCCCUCAGGACAAGGGGCCUCUCCUUUGGACAGAGUUACAGAGGGUUGGUGUAUAUUGGCUCUUACAGAAGCUGAAGGGCCCCCUCUGGCUCUGCUCCUUCAAAGGGUUGCCCAGAUUGCAAGUUCUAAUGGACUAUCCUGGUUGGGAAUUAAGAAAUGCAGUUUUGUUUGUUUGUUUAUUUGUUUUAAAUCUGUUCUCCCUGCCCAAGAAUCCUCCUCCUGCCUUGGAACCUUGUUCCUCUGUGUGUUUAAUGGUUAAAUGAGUGCCCUCUCACCCCCUGCCCGGAGGUAGGUGCUAGCCGUGGCUGAAUACCUAUAGAUCUCAGACAUACGUGAGGUGCUUAAACAACAUGAAAUUACUUGAUCCUUACAGCAUUUGGAAAAGGUGGACAUCACCAUUUUAUAGAUGAGAAAACUGAGAUGGGGUUGCCCAAGCUAUCAAGCUAGGAUAUUUUAAAGUCAAGGCAUAAACGUACAUCUUCCUGAUCCCGAAACCAGAACGCUGUCCAUGGUGCCAUGUUGGAAUGAAAUGAGAGGAAAGAACUGCCACCUUCCAGAAUAAGCCCUGUUAUUCACCAGGCCAACAGGAACACCCUGCCCAGAUGGCCCCGCAGAGCUCAACCGUCGCGCCGCCGCCUGCAGAUCUCCAGCUGUCACUUAGACAAAUUGGCUACUGGGUCAGGAGUAUUGGCAGUGAACGCCCCCAUCUCAUGACAAUCCUUAGACGAACACAGAUUGAUGUGGGGAGGCGGGCUGGACUGUUCCUAGUGAGAGAACACUGAUGGGGGAUGGCUGAUUGCCAUCUUAAUCCAAAGGCUUUCUAGCCAGUUAAGUGACUUGCAAAUACUUCACUCUGACAAUCCUUCAUGAUCGAGUUGGUUCAAAUCUAUUAGCCAGAGUAGGGCUGCAAAGAAUAUAUCAGCAUAGAGUGAUGGCUGACCCUGACCAGGUGGGCCUCUCUACUGUGUCAAGGUGCUCAAACUCCACAUUGAACUCAUUUCUAACCACGAUAGACCCCAGAACCAACACCUUGCUGUUCAGCCUAUAGUUCUGGAGAUAGAUUCAGACCUAUUUCCUUUUUCUCCAGGGGAGUGAAUUGGGCUGAGCAGGAU